This 559-nucleotide long non-coding RNA is filed under the name Homo sapiens (human). RNAcentral's name for it is "HSALNT0370201". Lineage: Eukaryota; Metazoa; Chordata; Mammalia; Primates; Hominidae. The record is from RNAcentral.
CACAGGCCUUGCAAAUAAAGGAGCUGAUGGAAGAGGUCUGCCUGAAAGUUCUGGAAGGAGUCUUGAAGAUCAAUGCAGGUCAACCCUGAUAUCUCCCACAGGAGGAACGUGAGGCCCAGAGAUCCUUCUUGAGUUACCCAACGUCCUGCAGCCCGCAAUAGAGAAGCAGACUAGAGGCAACAUUACCGGAAUCUCUCUCUCCCAUCCCCCAUCCCAGACCCAGAUCCUUCUACUGCAGACACCUGCUGUUCUUUUAUUGAUGGCAUGGCUAGUGCUCAGUCAUCUGGUCACCACAACUCUACUGAGCCCCUCCCCUGGGUGCUGGACUGGCUCUAACACUGUGCGAACAGACAGAGGAAGGCUCAUGCUUGUGGAGCCAACGUUCUAAGUUGGGGAAGAGUCAAUGUAUGAAUUUUAAAAACAGUAAAACAAGAUCAUUUCAGAGAACGGAAGACAACAGCAAGCACGGGCCACCUGUGACCACGUGGACCCUAGGACCCAAGAGCAUGGCCCUGGAGCUGCCUGGCCCUACUGGCCUAGACUGGGCCUCGGCCACGCG